UACGUAGGUGGCAAGCGUUGUCCGGAUUUACUGGGCGUAAAGAGCGCGCAGGCGGUCGUUCAAGUCGAGUGUGAAAGCCCCCGGCUCAACUGGGGAGGGUCAUUCGAUACUGUUCGACUCGAAGGCAGGAGAGGGAAGUGGAAUUCCCGGUGUAGUGGUGAAAUGCGUAGAUAUCGGGAGGAACACCAGUGGCGAAGGCGACUUCCUGGCCUGUUCUUGACGCUGAGGCGCGAAAGCUAGGGGAGCAAACGGG
This 253-nucleotide ribosomal RNA is filed under the name uncultured bacterium. RNAcentral's name for it is "partial 16S ribosomal RNA". It matches the Rfam family "Bacterial small subunit ribosomal RNA", at positions 524 to 776 of the family's 1533-position model. The record is from RNAcentral.